AUUGAACGCUGGCGGCAUGCCUUACACAUGCAAGUCGAACGGCAGCACGGGUGCUUGCACCUGGUGGCGAAUGGCGAACGGGUGAGUAAUACAUCGGAACAUGUCCUGUAGUGGGGGAUAGCCCGGCGAAAGCCGGAUUAAUACCGCAUACGAUCUCCGGAUUAAAGCGGGGGACCUUCGGGCCUCGCGCUUUAGGGUUGGCCGAUGGCUGAUUAGCUAGUUGGUGGGGUAAAGGCCUACCAAGGCGACGAUCAGUAGCUGGUCUGAGAGGACGACCAGCCACACUGGGACUGAGACACGGCCCAGACUCCUACGGGAGGCAGCAGUGGGGAAUUUUGGACAAUGGGCGAAAGCCUGAUCCAGCAAUGCCGCGUGUGUGAAGAAGGCCUUCGGGUUGUAAAGCACUUUUGUCCGGAAAGAAAUCCUUGGCCCUAAUACGGUCGGGGGAUGACGGUACCGGAAGAAUAAGCACCGGCUAACUACGUG
Molecule: ribosomal RNA, 486 nt
Filed under: uncultured bacterium
Lineage: Bacteria
Description: partial 16S ribosomal RNA
Rfam family: Bacterial small subunit ribosomal RNA
Source: RNAcentral